Molecule: ribosomal RNA, 506 nt
Filed under: uncultured bacterium
Lineage: Bacteria
Description: partial 16S ribosomal RNA
Rfam family: Bacterial small subunit ribosomal RNA
Source: RNAcentral
AUUGAACGCUGGCGGCAGGCCUAACACAUGCAAGUCGAACGGUAACAGGAAACAGCUUGCUGUUUCGCUGACGAGUGGCGGACGGGUGAGUAAUGUCUGGGAAACUGCCUGAUGGAGGGGGAUAACUACUGGAAACGGUAGCUAAUACCGCAUAACGUCGCAAGACCAAAGAGGGGGACCUUCGGGCCUCUUGCCAUCGGAUGUGCCCAGAGGGGAUUAGCUUGUUGGUGGGGUAACGGCUCACCAAGGCGACGAUCCCUAGCUGGUCUGAGAGGAUGACCAGCCACACUGGAACUGAGACACGGUCCAGACUCCUACGGGAGGCAGCAGUGGGGAAUAUUGCACAAUGGGCGCAAGCCUGAUGCAGCCAUGCCGCGUGUAUGAAGAAGGCCUUCGGGUUGUAAAGUACUUUCAGCGGGGAGGAAGGGAGUAAAGUUAACACCUUUACUCAUUGACGUUACCCGCAGAAGAAGCACCGGCUAACUCCGUGCCAGCAGCCGCCGUAA